RNAcentral lists this non-coding RNA (22 nucleotides) under Arabidopsis thaliana (thale cress). The record is from RNAcentral. Lineage: Eukaryota; Viridiplantae; Streptophyta; Magnoliopsida; Brassicales; Brassicaceae.
UAGAGGGCUUCAUACGUUUCAU